Molecule: ribosomal RNA, 565 nt
Filed under: uncultured bacterium
Lineage: Bacteria
Description: partial 16S ribosomal RNA
Rfam family: Bacterial small subunit ribosomal RNA
Source: RNAcentral
UGGGGAAUAUUGCACAAUGGGCGAAAGCCUGAUGCAGCAACGCCGCGUGAGGGACGACGGCCUUCGGUUGUAACCUCUUUAGCAAGGAAGAAGCGAAAGUGACGGUACUUGCAGAAAAAGCGCCGGCUAACUACGUGCCAGCAGCCGCGGUAAUACGUAGGGCGCAAGCGUUAUCCGGAAUUAUUGGGCGUAAAGAGCUCGUAGGCGGUUUGUCGCGUCUGCUGUGAAAACCCGAGGCUCAACCUCGGGCCUGCAGUGGGUACGGGCAGACUAGAGUGCGGUAGGGGAGAUUGGAACUCCUGGUGUAGCGGUGGAAUGCGCAGAUAUCAGGAAGAACACCGAUGGCGAAGGCAGAUCUCUGGGCCGUAACUGACGCUGAGGAGCGAAAGGGUGGGGAGCAAAACAGGCUUAGAUACCCUGGUAGUCCACCCGUAAACGUUGGGAACUAGUUGUGGGGUCCAUUCCACGGAUUCCGUGACGCAGCUAACGCAUUAAGUUCCCCGCCUGGGGAGUACGGCCGCAAGGCUAAAACUCAAAUGAAUUGACGGGGUCAUAGCUGUUUCCU